UAAAAUGUUGUGGGUUCUACAACUCCUCCGACUUCGUGGGCUCGCCGUACUAUUUGGACCACGAGAAGCAAUACCCACCGCAGUGCUGCCCAGGCAUGGAGAGCCCCUGUAACCAAACGGUGGCUGACAGUGACACGACCAUUACUGGGUGCUUCCCAAAGAUCAAGAAGCUGAUUGAUGACAACACAGUGGUCAUUGUGGCCGUGGCUCUGGGAAUUGCAUUGCUGGAGAUAUGUGCCAUGGCGGUUUCCAUGAUCCUUUUCUGCAGAAUAAAAUCCAGGGGGGACUAACUGCAAAUGGUGAAGGCCCAGGAAGCAUCCUUUUAAUCACUGAGAUCUUUCUACUUCCUCUAGAAGAGCGAAGGGCCUCAUCAUUAAAGGCAGUUCAUGUCAUAUCUCGGGCGAUCAGAAUUACCGAAUGACAUAACCAAUCUAUUUUUACUACGUUUAAAUCUAUUUAAGCAAUGCCGCAUAUGAAUGUAAAUGAUCUCUAAAGAACUACACGUUGUCAAACGGCCUACACACACUGCCUACUUCGCCCAGAGACCUUUUUAAAUCUGCUACUACCUGAACGCAUGGUAAGUCAAUGAGGAAUCACAUCAUAUCUGCGUUAUCAUCGUGAUAAUGAAACAUGGAGGCUGCUGUGUCGGGCACAGGAACCACUAUUGGUAAUGUUGAUGCUGUGACGCAGCCUGUGAAACAGCAACAGAUGUGAUGCACUAUUGGAUGUUGGUGAA
Long non-coding RNA from Cyclopterus lumpus (lumpfish), 736 nucleotides. RefSeq lists it as uncharacterized. The record is from RefSeq and is a predicted model, not a curated record. Lineage: Eukaryota; Metazoa; Chordata; Actinopteri; Perciformes; Cyclopteridae. The transcript is spliced from 3 exons.